RNAcentral lists this ribosomal RNA (484 nucleotides) under uncultured bacterium. Its description in RNAcentral is "partial 16S ribosomal RNA". It matches the Rfam family "Bacterial small subunit ribosomal RNA", at positions 28 to 523 of the family's 1533-position model. The record is from RNAcentral.
GACGAACGCUGGCGGCGUGCUUAACACAUGCAAGUCGAACGAUGAAGCCGGAGCUUGCUCUGGUGAAUUAGUGGCGAACGGGUGAGUAACACGUGAGUAACCUGCCCUUGACUCUGGGAUAACUGCUAGAAAUGGUAGCUAAUACCGGAUACGACCCUCGGAGGCAUCUCCAGGGGGUGGAAAGAAUUUCGGUCAAGGAUGGACUCGCGGCCUAUCAGCUAGUUGGUGGGGUAAUGGCUCACCAAGGCGACGACGGGUAGCCGGCCUGAGAGGGUGACCGGCCACACUGGGACUGAGACACGGCCCAGACUCCUACGGGAGGCAGCAGUGGGGAAUAUUGCACAAUGGGCGCAAGCCUGAUGCAGCAACGCCGCGUGAGGGAUGACGGCCUUCGGGUUGUAAACCUCUUUUAGUAGGGAAGAAGCGAAAGUGACGGUACCUGCAGAAAAAGCACCGGCCAACUACGUGCCAGCAGCCGCCGUAA